Antechinus flavipes (yellow-footed antechinus) is the source of this 1531-nucleotide long non-coding RNA. RefSeq lists it as uncharacterized. The record is from RefSeq and is a predicted model, not a curated record. Lineage: Eukaryota; Metazoa; Chordata; Mammalia; Dasyuromorphia; Dasyuridae. The transcript has 3 exons.
AUUUUUCCCUUAUGACUCUCUGCUUGUUUGUGUGUUUUGGCUUGGUUAUGUGUGUCCCACAUUAUUUUGCACCAAGACUUCAGUUACUGAUUCAGAGAUUUUAUCAUCUCAAUCCCAUGUGCAAGGUCCAGUAUUUUGGCCCCUGGAUAGUCACCUCUUAUCUACCUCAGGCAGGCAGCCUAAAUAGUAGCACAAAAUGUUCAAAAGUCAAAUGUUACAUUAAAAAAAAAUUAAAACUUUGCCGUCAAAGACUAUAUUUCCAAAUGAGGACAAAGGGAACAGAAAAUACUAAUAAUAUGAUGUACACUUUAAAUGCUUACUACAUGCAAAGUACAUCUCCCCCUCAGACAUAGUCAAAAAUAGUCCAGCACCCAGAGACUAAAUGACCUAGUAAAUGCAAUGCCCCCAGGCUGCCUUCCUGCUUCCAGCCUGGCUCAUACAGCUAUCAUCAGCAAGAACAAUUGUUUGUGGAAGAUACCUGACAUACCCAAUGCCUCCAGCUUCAAGCACAGACCAACUGUUGCUGACAGGAAGGAAAAAUAACAACACAGUUCAUUUGGAAUGACAAAAGAACUUCAAAGAAACCAGAAAAAAAGAUGUAGAGGAAACAGACCUUAAACUAGAUUAUGAGGUCUUCCUUCUUGCUGUCGGCCCUUCUACUCAGUAUUUUAAGCAACACACAAGAUCUACUAGUGAAUUUCUUCAGAAUCCAGUUAACUUUAAAAGCAACAUGGAGAGACUAAAAUUUGGGGGAUAGGAUCUUUCCCAAUCUCUAGAAAUGGCUAAAAAAAAUUUGUGUCUGUCCUGGCUGGACUUGGAUACUUUGCAUUACUGAUGAUCAUCAUCACUUACUUGCCAGGGGAAAGACUUACUGAAAGAAGGUCCUUGUGAUCUUUCACACAUAUUUGUGUGGAAAUGGAGAAGGAAAUCAAGUUUUGAAGGACUUUUUGGAAAUAGCAAUGCAGCUGAACAAGAAGUGCUAUCAUUGUAUCUGGACAUAAACAACCAUCCAGAUAGUGUUGUUUGUCUUUCGUAUUUAAAGAUGGUCAAUGACAUCACAAACUGAUUUCUUGAUCGGCAUGAAUCAGAUUUAAGAGAAGCAGAGUUGCACAAAAUUGUCAGCCUCGAUCUCUUUUCCAAUCAUCAAAGUUCAGUGGCAAGAAAAAAGCCAGGACGACUGGCAAUGGCCUUGGAUGCAGUGGAAGACCUUGACAUCCUCCUAACUCACCAUUCUGAGUUCUGAGAUCAUUACCUUCAACCUGGUUUGCCCAUUUAUUGACCAGGUAUGGCCCCUGCAUAAACUAGCUUGUUAUGCUUGUUAGAGCCACAAGUGAGAGUUGAGUGACAGGUAAAGACCACGGGUAGAUGAGCAGCCCUGAAAAAGGCUCAGCAAAUCCUCAAAUGUGAUAAUACCAGACAGGGAAGAUCAUGGGAAUUUCAGUAUUAUCAACAACUUUGUUGAAGGAAUCAUUUAAAUUUGGUGUAUUUGUUUUUGAGUUGGUAUUUGAGCCCAAUAAACUCUCAAAACUCA